This 539-nucleotide ribosomal RNA is filed under the name Penicillium chrysogenum. Its description in RNAcentral is "eukaryotic LSU rRNA". The stretch from base 174 to 326 matches the Rfam family "5.8S ribosomal RNA". Lineage: Eukaryota; Fungi; Ascomycota; Eurotiomycetes; Eurotiales; Aspergillaceae. The record is from RNAcentral.
UCGAGCUGGAGGCUCUGGGUCACCUCCCACCCGUGUUUAUUUUACCUUGUUGCUUCGGCGGGCCCGCCUUAACUGGCCGCCGGGGGGCUUACGCCCCCGGGCCCGCGCCCGCCGAAGACACCCUCGAACUCUGUCUGAAGAUUGUAGUCUGAGUGAAAAUAUAAAUUAUUUAAAACUUUCAACAACGGAUCUCUUGGUUCCGGCAUCGAUGAAGAACGCAGCGAAAUGCGAUACGUAAUGUGAAUUGCAAAUUCAGUGAAUCAUCGAGUCUUUGAACGCACAUUGCGCCCCCUGGUAUUCCGGGGGGCAUGCCUGUCCGAGCGUCAUUGCUGCCCUCAAGCACGGCUUGUGUGUUGGGCCCCGUCCUCCGAUCCCGGGGGACGGGCCCGAAAGGCAGCGGCGGCACCGCGUCCGGUCCUCGAGCGUAUGGGGCUUUGUCACCCGCUCUGUAGGCCCGGCCGGCGCUUGCCGAUCAACCCAAAUUUUUAUCCAGGUUGACCUCGGAUCAGGUAGGGAUACCCGCUGAACUUAAGCAUAUC